GAUAGGUGGACUGGCUCCGGCUUUUUGCCUGUUGUUAUGGAAACUUAGUCUCUGCGUGCGUUGUGAUCCCACAGAUCUGUGUAUUGAAACUCUGAUACUUGACUGACGAAUGUAUUCUACUUUAUCUUAUCGUCUUAUUUGGCUCUUGCUUAGGAUCAAUGUAAUUCCAAUUUAAUGAAUGCGCAGGGAUAUAUAGGUCUUUUAUUUGGAGUCAGACACAUUGUCCCAAAAGGGGGGACACAGAGGAGGAAAUCCCCAACAUCAGUUAGCUAAAGUGGGAGUGCAGGUGUUCACUGGGCGUCCGCCCAGAGCAGAAGAGGACCAGACCAUAUAAUAUGUCACAGUGACACAAUUCAGCAACGUGUCCACAGAGAUGCCUGGGCCAGUUUUUUUGUGUCACAGGUGAUGAAGCAGCUCCCUGGAGAUGUGACACGUCAGCUUAUUGCGUUGACAGCACUACUCUGUUUGAGUGCUACAUUUUGGCCGCUGAGGACCCAAGCAUACCAUCACCACCUACAGCCCUGGCCAGACCUGAGUUCAGCAGUGAGAUGGCGGUAUGAAUGUCUGUACCCGUUGCUCUUGACUGUCUGGUGGAAAUCUGAAGCGGGAACCAGAGGGAAGUAGGUGAAACUCUGAGGGAAGGGGGUGGACACUGAUCAACAGAAUGGAUUUUGCUUUUUGAAUCACUUGUCUAUUGUACAGGUCUAUUGUAAAGGUCAGUGAGGUUAUUUUGUUGAACACCAAGGAUUUUGCUACAAAUCAUGUCAUCUAAGUGAA
This is a long non-coding RNA of Sander lucioperca (pikeperch), 777 nucleotides long. RefSeq lists it as uncharacterized. Lineage: Eukaryota; Metazoa; Chordata; Actinopteri; Perciformes; Percidae. The record is from RefSeq and is a predicted model, not a curated record. The transcript is spliced from 3 exons.